RNAcentral lists this ribosomal RNA (464 nucleotides) under Vreelandella stevensii. RNAcentral's name for it is "partial 16S ribosomal RNA". It matches the Rfam family "Bacterial small subunit ribosomal RNA", at positions 338 to 795 of the family's 1533-position model. The record is from RNAcentral. Lineage: Bacteria; Pseudomonadati; Pseudomonadota; Gammaproteobacteria; Oceanospirillales; Halomonadaceae.
CCUACGGGUGGCAGCAGUGGGGAAUAUUGGACAAUGGGGGCAACCCUGAUCCAGCCAUGCCGCGUGUGUGAAGAAGGCCCUCGGGUUGUAAAGCACUUUCAGUGAGGAAGAACGCCUGGUGGUUAAUACCCAUCAGGAAAGACAUCACUCACAGAAGAAGCACCGGCUAACUCCGUGCCAGCAGCCGCGGUAAUACGGAGGGUGCGAGCGUUAAUCGGAAUUACUGGGCGUAAAGCGCGCGUAGGUGGCUUGAUAAGCCGGUUGUGAAAGCCCCGGGCUCAACCUGGGAACGGCAUCCGGAACUGUCAAGCUAGAGUGCAGGAGAGGAAGGUAGAAUUCCCGGUGUAGCGGUGAAAUGCGUAGAGAUCGGGAGGAAUACCAGUGGCGAAGGCGGCCUUCUGGACUGACACUGACACUGAGGUGCGAAAGCGUGGGUAGCAAACAGGAUUAGAUACCGUGUAGUC